Dendroctonus ponderosae (mountain pine beetle) is the source of this 1456-nucleotide long non-coding RNA. RefSeq lists it as uncharacterized. The transcript is spliced from 2 exons. NCBI's taxonomy places the organism in Eukaryota, Metazoa, Arthropoda, Insecta, Coleoptera, Curculionidae. The record is from RefSeq and is a predicted model, not a curated record.
AGCUAGAAAACCGCCGUGUGGUCGAUUUUUGAUUAGGCCAAAGCGUUUCGCGAUGUUUGCGGUCGCCGAAGAACUGGCCAGUUACCCAGAUCACUUACACGCUUUCACUUUGUGUACCCCCAAUUUUCGCUUAAUUCGAAUUGGAUAUUAAUAUGCAUCUACAGACUUAACAGCGGGUGUCUGUAUAAAAAAUCCAAAAUGAGAAGAAUUAAUUUGAUUAAAAAAUCAGCAUUUUAAAGGAUGGAAGGGACUGGCAAAGCCAAUCGCCUUAAAUAAAGAGGGACGCAUUACUUACAAACCUCGGCAUGAUGGCUGGAAAGUGUCUGGACCAAAACCGCUCAGAAGAACUCUUCGAAGCGACAUUGAUGGGAAUGGUGCCAUAGUGAUAAAGUGGGCAGACAGGUAACAGGUAGAAGGCCUUUGUAAGGUCAAGAAAAGCUGCUACUGGGAAACGGUUACACGGGGAAAAUGUGGGAAAACUUUUAAUACCUGACUGCCUUUGAGUCCUCCUUCGCGUCGAAAAUUACCCACUUUCUAGUCCUUUGCUAUCCCAUAGUGGCGGCAGUCGCUUGAAUGAGCUGCGGUGUGGAAAAUCCCAAAAAUGCACUUUUAUUGCGCUCGCACUUAAAUUGCUAUUGUUCUUUUCCGUGCUGGGCUUAGACUGAUGCUCGUCGUGGCAGCUGGCAACUUUUAACUAGCCUGCCAUGGAGCUACAUAAAACGCAAAAUCUUCAGUAGCUUGCCAUCUUCAAAGUCCAUUUUCCUAUUAAACAUCAGAGAGAUUCCGAAGUAAGUGAAAGGAACUUGAGUAUUAAUAAAUUCCCCGCUUCUUCAACCAUCGACAGCUGGUUGAACGAGUGGUUAACAUUUCCCAGUGUUCAUCAUUCAUCUAUACUUUUGUUUAAAGCAUGAAUCUAAUGUUUAUACUUUUCAAGGCUGUCGCGUUUCAAACCGAAUACCUUUGCGUAGUUUAACAUUAUCGCUCGCAUGCAAUUUAGUCAAAUUGUCCGUCCGCGGCAAUAGUGAUUGGAUAAUAAAUGUGCAUUUGAAAUUAUUGGCGACGACAGACAUUCUUCUGCUCUUGUAUUUGGAAAAAUAUCCUGUUCCCAGCUAGCUAAAAACUUAAACCAAAAACAGUGCCUUUUUAAUGCGUCUAAUCAUCCGCAAGUUUUACAUUAAGAACGGCCUGGUGAGGAUUUCAGCCUCCUGCCGCUGGUGCAGUGAGCCGACUCCUACCGCUGGAACAGCCUGAGUGGGUCGCCCGCAAUAUCUCACCUGGGAAACUCACAAAAUUAGCUCGAGAUUCUCCAACGCCCCGAAUAUCCGCUUACAGAUCUGCCGAUCAGAUUCUCAAAUCGCCGCUUGAAGAACGUCCAAGCGCCCAUGUUUUGCGGCUCCUCCUGGCACCAAACCAGGCCUGAAAUGUAGCAUUUCAAUUAAAAACCCGCUGAACAUUC